RNAcentral lists this transfer RNA (73 nucleotides) under Petalonia fascia. RNAcentral's name for it is "tRNA-Ala". It matches the Rfam family "tRNA". Rfam says of the family: Transfer RNA (tRNA) molecules are approximately 80 nucleotides in length. Their secondary structure includes four short double-helical elements and three loops (D, anti-codon, and T loops). Lineage: Eukaryota; Phaeophyceae; Ectocarpales; Scytosiphonaceae. The record is from RNAcentral.
GGGGGUAUAACUCAGUUGGUAGAGUGUACGUUUUGCAUACGUAAAGUCAAGAGUUCGAGCCUCUUUAUCUCCA